GGUUGUGGCUUAGUGGUAGAGUGCUUGCCUAGCAUGUGUGAGGCACUGGAUUCAAUUAUCAGCACCA
Molecule: transfer RNA, 67 nt
Filed under: Marmota monax (woodchuck)
Lineage: Eukaryota; Metazoa; Chordata; Mammalia; Rodentia; Sciuridae
Description: tRNA.Ala
Source: RNAcentral